RNAcentral lists this unclassified non-coding RNA (237 nucleotides) under uncultured Planctomycetota bacterium. RNAcentral's name for it is "uncultured planctomycete contains 16S-23S intergenic spacer region". The record is from RNAcentral. Lineage: Bacteria; Pseudomonadati; Planctomycetota.
UCCGGUUUGUCACCUCCGUUUCGGGAGGCUAAUCCGUGCAUUUCAAACCCUGGUAAGGUUCUGCGCGUUGCUUCGAAUUAAACCACAUGCUCCACCGCUUGUGUGAGCCCCCGUCAAUUCCUUUGAGUUUCAGCCUUGCGGCCGUACUCCCCAGGCGGGGCACUUAUCGCAUUCGUUUCGACAGUGACGGCAUCGGACCUCCACUGCCUAGUGCCCAUCGUUUACAGCUAGGACUAC